UAGGGAAUCUUCGGCAAUGGACGAAAGUCUGACCGAGCAACGCCGCGUGAGUGAAGAAGGUUUUCGGAUCGUAAAACUCUGUUGUUAGAGAAGAACAAGGACGUUAGUAACUGAACGUCCCCUGACGGUAUCUAACCAGAAAGCCACGGCUAACUACGUGCCAGCAGCCGCGGUAAUACGUAGGUGGCAAGCGUUGUCCGGAUUUAUUGGGCGUAAAGCGAGCGCAGGCGGUUUCUUAAGUCUGAUGUGAAAGCCCGCGGCUCAACCGGGGAGGGUCAUUGGAAACUGGGAGACUGGAGUGCAGAAGAGGAGAGUGGAAUUCCAUGUGUAGCGGUGAAAUGCGUAGAUAUAUGGAGGAACACCAGUGGCGAAGGCGGCUCUCUGGUCUGUAACUGACGCUGAGGCUCGAAAGCGUGGGGAGAAAACAGG
RNAcentral lists this ribosomal RNA (429 nucleotides) under Gemmatimonadota bacterium. Its description in RNAcentral is "Gemmatimonadetes bacterium partial 16S ribosomal RNA". It matches the Rfam family "Bacterial small subunit ribosomal RNA", at positions 355 to 776 of the family's 1533-position model. The record is from RNAcentral. Lineage: Bacteria; Pseudomonadati; Gemmatimonadota.